GGCAAACAUCAUUUUUUAUAACUCUCUACCUAGGAAUCCUUAUUCCAAAUAUAGAAUAGCUAGUCCAUGACACCCUUCCCCCUUCUUUAGCUUAUGGAAUGCUGUUGUAUUGCUUAGAAUCUCAGUCUUUCUCAUAAACAUAAUAGUUUUGGUACAGGCUUUUCUUUGACAUAUGAUCUCAAAGUAGAGUUGAGCAAUCUAAUAUGAACUAUCUUAAUAAAACAUAAUUUAGUAUUUCUGUAAAGCAUUUUCAAAAGAUAACCAGACUUGUAGGAUUAGAGAUAUAAAUACUGAUGGUAGUAUUUUGCCUAAGAACAAUCACAUAUUAAUCUAUAAAUAUGGACAUUUGCCUUGUUGUACUUAAUUCUGUUGCACCAAACAACAAGUUUUUGUUGUUUGCUUAAUAGUGUUUCCUCUACAGAGAUCAAAAUGCCCUAAGAUUUUAUAUCCCUUAUAAAGUCACUUGGGUUUAUAGAUUGGAAGAAUAAGCUCUACUUAAUGUAAGAAAAAUUUUAUCUCCAUUGAAGGAAAUUAUUUAUCUAACUGGGCCACCAUGAAUCACUCAUUUAUUAGACAUGGUAAAUAAAAUGGGAAACAUUUCAAAUCAUUAGAUAAAUUCUGACUUGGAAUUGAAUUCUCACCUCCUUAAAGUCUUUUCUAUUUGUUUUUUUUUUUUCAAAGACUCAAUAUGGGCAUCUUAACUGAUAAGGGAGAGAAAUUCUUGGUCUGGAACCAUUCCCUGCCAUUCUGCCUUUUUUUUUUUUUUCCUCUGUCAAGGUCGCUGACUCUAGUACGUGUCACCAGGACAUAUUCAAGUUAAUGACAUUGGAAUGUUGAUGCUUAGUUGGAUAUCUUUCUGUUUUCAACAAAAUGGUUUUAUAGUAUGCUUUUCUCAAGCUUCUGUGUUCUUAAUAAUGAAAAAUAUCAAUAAAUGGUGUGAUUCAAAA
This 947-nucleotide long non-coding RNA is filed under the name Bos taurus (domestic cattle). Its description in RNAcentral is "long non-coding RNA NONBTAT000699". Lineage: Eukaryota; Metazoa; Chordata; Mammalia; Artiodactyla; Bovidae. The record is from RNAcentral.